AGAUUGAACGCUAGCGGGAUGCUUUACACAUGCAAGUCGAACGGCAGCGCGGACUUCGGUCUGGCGGCGAGUGGCGAACGGGUGAGUAAUAUAUCGGAACGUGCCCAGUAGCGGGGGAUAACUACGCGAAAGCGUGGCUAAUACCGCAUACGCCCUACGGGGGAAGGGGGGGAUCGCAAGACCUCUCACUAUUGGAGCGGCCGAUAUCAGAUUAGCUAGUUGGUGAGGUAAAGGCUCACCAAGGCGACGAUCUGUAGCUGGUUUGAGAGGACGACCAGCCACACUGGGACUGAGACACGGCCCAGACUCCUACGGGAGCAGCAGUGGGGAUUUGGACAAUGGGGGAAACCUGAUCC
Molecule: ribosomal RNA, 356 nt
Filed under: uncultured soil bacterium
Lineage: Bacteria
Description: bacterial SSU rRNA
Rfam family: Bacterial small subunit ribosomal RNA
Source: RNAcentral